UAAUAAGUGAUAGUUUACAUAUAAAAGUUUUAUUCUGACUUAAUAAUUUAAGGAACAAUAUAAAUAUAUGUUUAAAAUUAAGAAAUAUAAUAGCAGUAAAUAAAAUUAUACAACUUAAAUAGGUAUAGAAAUUUAAUAAAUAAUCGAAGAAUUAUGUGCCAGCAUUUGCGGUUAUACAUAAGAUUAUAUAAAUGUUAAAGGUUAAAGUAAAGAUUGAUAAUAUAAGUGUAAAAAUACGAGUAACAACAGGUGAAAUUGGUUUAUUUUAGGUAAGCAAAAAUCUAUAUUACGAGAUUUAAUCAGAGACCAGGAUUAGAUACCCUGUUAUAUAAAAACUAAAUAUAUUUACCUGAGUAGUAAAUUUGUGAAACUAAAAGAAUUUGGCGGUAUUUUAUAAAUUAGAGGAAUAUGUUAAGUGAAUGAUAGCCCACGAUAGACUUCACAUUUUUAAAAACUUAUGUAUUGUUGUUGGUAGAUAAAAUUGAAAGGUUUUUUCGUUUUAUAGAAUAAAUGAAGACAAAUCAUAGUGUAGUGAAUAAAAAUGAUUAUAAUGUAUUACAAUUUUUAAAAAUAAUAGAUAUUUUAAAGUAUUAUAAAAUUGAAACAGGAUUUAUUAGUAAAAUUAUAAAAUAUUUUAUAGUGUGAAUGUAAAUUAAAAUAUGUACACAUCGCCCGUCGCUCUUAAAUAUAAGAUAAGUCGUAACAAAGUAGGCCUAUUGGAAAAUAGGCCUUGAAAG
Molecule: non-coding RNA, 737 nt
Filed under: Bilobella aurantiaca
Lineage: Eukaryota; Metazoa; Arthropoda; Collembola; Poduromorpha; Neanuridae
Source: RNAcentral